This is a non-coding RNA of Schizosaccharomyces pombe (fission yeast), 433 nucleotides long. The record is from the annotation of a GenBank genome assembly. Lineage: Eukaryota; Fungi; Ascomycota; Schizosaccharomycetes; Schizosaccharomycetales; Schizosaccharomycetaceae.
UUAAGUAGCGUUGAAUGUGUUUUUCUAUGCCAAAAUAUUUACUCAAAUCAAUAUACAGGAGCCUUUUUUUAGCGUCCAAAGAAAUACUUUGCUCACUGUAAGCAGAGCGUAACUAUGAAUACAGUGCAUAUAGCACCUCCCUAUGAAAAAUAUACUAAUGUAGUAAGAAGAGAAGGUUUUUGCAAAGGAAGAAUAGGAAGUGUAGUCUGCAUGCUCCCCAGGCCACUGAAUGCGAAGGUUUUCAAAGUUUGUUAUCUACAAUCUUACGUAGCUGUGCGUAUCUCAAGCCGACCUAAACAAAUCUCGUUAUUCCAAAUAAUAUUUAUUUUAAACAGUUAUCAUAAUUCUAUAUGAUAAUAAUCCAUAGUAACUAAGCUGUUUUAUAUGUAUCUGAACAAAGGAAUAGAAAAAAUAAACCCAGUUUCCAAGUUUU